RNAcentral lists this ribosomal RNA (253 nucleotides) under uncultured bacterium. RNAcentral describes it as "partial 16S ribosomal RNA". It matches the Rfam family "Bacterial small subunit ribosomal RNA", at positions 524 to 776 of the family's 1533-position model. The record is from RNAcentral.
UACGAAGGGGGCUAGCGUUGUUCGGAAUUACUGGGCGUAAAGCGCACGUAGGCGGACUGCCAAGUCAGGGGUGAAAUCCCGGGGCUCAACCUCGGAACUGCCUCUGAUACUGUCAGUCUAGAGUCCGGAAGAGGUGGGUGGAAUUCCUAGUGUAGAGGUGAAAUUCGCAGAUAUUAGGAAGAGCACCGGUGGCGAAGGCGGCCCACUGGUCCGGAACUGACGCUGAGGUGCGAAAGCGUGGGGAGCAAACACG